Long non-coding RNA from Lepidothrix coronata (blue-crowned manakin), 596 nucleotides. RefSeq lists it as uncharacterized. The record is from RefSeq and is a predicted model, not a curated record. NCBI's taxonomy places the organism in Eukaryota, Metazoa, Chordata, Aves, Passeriformes, Pipridae. The transcript has 3 exons.
UGACCGGUUUCAUCAAACCCGGGGCACUGCUUCCAUCAGGUGAAGCAGCACACAGUGCAGGACAGAGAUGAAGCUUCCCCUGUGUCUGUGGAUAAACUGCCGUGAAUGUGGGUGACAACUAAGCAGGAAUUCUGUUGGGAGAGUGAAAGGAAAAGGUCCAGCUGGAUCCAGCUUCAGGUGUGACCAAAGGUGACCCCUGGGCUGAGGCUGCAGGAAGGUUUGGGCUGGAAUUUGUUUUCGUGGAACGGGUGAAGACCUUUGGAAAAGAACUUUUGUCAAGGAAACAAACAGUUUAUAAGUAUAUUCUCAAACAAGGAGUUUCUGAGAGCACAGACAGGCUUUUCCCUUUGUUUUUUCAGAAGGAAACAACGCUCUAAUUAUUUAAAGUUGUAUAAAAUGCCCCCCUAUGAACUGUUGGGGGGAAUUUAUUCCGAGUUCAAAAUCAAAAUUAAGUCUUUAAAACUUGUUGGUUGUCCCUCUGCCCUUUUCAUGUGCACGUUGCUGGGGAGUCUGGGAACUAAAAAUAAAUGGAAAUGUUUUGCAGGAUAAAUAUCUUGAGCAUCUUAUCAAACUGGAAAUAAAUUUUAAAUAACAUU